This 281-nucleotide long non-coding RNA is filed under the name Nicotiana benthamiana. RNAcentral's name for it is "long non-coding RNA (NBEN_LNC016462)". The record is from RNAcentral. Lineage: Eukaryota; Viridiplantae; Streptophyta; Magnoliopsida; Solanales; Solanaceae.
AUUGCCAUUUACGCGUUGCUCUCUUUUUAUUUUGAGCUAAAGGCGUGCAGCUGAGUUGUAACAAGGUUGGAUACUAUAAAGGAGUAUGGGGCCCAUAACCAGAAUUGUACUCCUACUGCUAGAGUUGUACAUUACUGUUUGCCGUCAAUCAUAUGCUGUUGGGACCCACCAUGAAUUCGGAUUCGGUGCAUAUUUUUCAAUUGGACUUGCUGGUGUUUGUGGUUCUGCAAAGCGCUUUCCUAAAAUUGGUAUGUCCUGUUUUAGACGGUAGAAUUAACUUA